Chloebia gouldiae (Gouldian finch) is the source of this 1590-nucleotide long non-coding RNA. The record is from Ensembl. Lineage: Eukaryota; Metazoa; Chordata; Aves; Passeriformes; Passeridae.
CGUCUACGGCGAGCGGCGAGCGGCACAAAGGGCCGGCGCGGGGGCGGGGCGGGGGGGCGAAGCGCUCCCUGCCCUUCCCCGCAGAACCGGGGGCAGGUGAGGGAGAGCCCCGGCCGGGAACUGCUCUUCUCGCUUCCCUGGCUGCGCCGCCCGCCUCCCUUCCCACCGCCUCCCUUCUGCACGAAGCGAACCCCGUUGUCAACAUCCCGUUGUCCCCAGGAACUAGACCCUCCUUCCCAGUCCCAGGAGGCAAAGGUUCAACGAUCAUUCAGAAUCUCCAGUGGAGGAAUCUUGAGGACCACGCACCUAUAGUUGAAUCCCCACCACCAUCACUGGAUGACUUACCUGGCGUGGAAGCACCAGUAUCUGCAGCCCAGCCAUCUGUAGUGGAAUUGCCAGUAUCUGCAGAGCCACCACGUUCUGAUCACUUCCUGCUCAUUGUAUAGUCUGCAUCCAGGGAAAACUCACCUGAGAUCAGAUCACCUGUGAGUGAACUUCCAGGUUUCAAAGUCAAGAUGCACACCUCUGAAUCCACACAGGAUGGCAGUAACACCGUUGAGAAUGUGUUGUCAGCAACAGAGAUUACAUUUGAAUCAUUGGAGAAUCCAGAGGUUUUUGGAGACCCCUAUCAAGUCGCCAUGAAUUAUGCGGAGGAACAUAAAAUUCUACAGAUAUUUCAGGAUAUCACAGAAAAACUGCUGUUCCAUAAGCCUGAUGACCCCUUGCAGUUCAUAUUGCUGGAGGUGCAGUCUAUGAUAAAUGCCAGGCAAGCAGAAGCGGAGAAACUAUCAGACUAGAACAAAGAUGUGAAGUUGUUUCUAGAAGAGGGCUUGUGCACUCCUUUUGGCCCCCACUGACCUUGCUGUUUUGGUAUUGCCACGCCAUGCCUUCACAGCACCAUGUAGUCAUUAGCAAUAACUUGGAAAAGAUCUGCUUUUCUGUCUCUUGCCUGGUUUCUCUGUUUUCUAUGCUUGUGCAUCCCCUUCCCUUGGGUUUAAAUCCUGCAGCCAGGUUUUGGUUUGGAAUCACAGACUGAGAUCUAAGUGUGCAUGGAUCUUCAUACACAUAUGGCAUAUCUUGAAGAGGCAGGUCUGCUGAACUUCUAGGCAUAUAAAUGCAUAAAUCUCAUAUUUAGUCCUCUCCACACUCUGCCUCUCUGUGCAAAGAAACCUCACAGCUCAGACAAUGCAAGGACAAAGGCAAGUAGAGUUAAAAAGCAGCCCUGGACAACCCAGAGCAUUCUUUUUUCAUGCUGCAUCGGUGGCUUACUGUGUCCAGUUAUGCAGCAGCACCAAUGCCUAUCUCAUACUUUGAUAGUUUGUGUCUGGGCUUUCCCACUGCCCCCAGAGCUCCUCUGAUGCUAGAAGCUGUCUCUUUGCCUCUUCCACACACUGGAUACAGCUGUCUCACCCUAAAUCAUCCCUCUGGACACUGAUCACUGUGUUUUUUGGGGUGGCCCUGCCUGUAUCAUUGUAAGAACAGUGUAUAGCCAGAACAGUAAAGCAACAGUUGCACACACCCUUUAUGCUUUCAGGAGACAUUUUCACUCAGGAAUGUGAGAGGUGAAUAAAAGCAAGCAAACCAAAACCA